AUACUUAUCUGGCAGGAGAGACACCAUGAUCAUGAAUGUGGUAUUCCCUGGGUGAGCCUUAUCCACUGCACUAGGGAUGUGCUGACUCCUGAGAUUUCCCCAAAUGCAAGAAACUCGACUGCAUAAUUUUGUGGUAGUUGGGGACUCUGUUGGAGCUCUCCCUUA
Cricetulus griseus (Chinese hamster) is the source of this 165-nucleotide small nuclear RNA. Its record names the gene U1. It matches the Rfam family "U1 spliceosomal RNA". From Rfam's summary of the family: U1 is a small nuclear RNA (snRNA) component of the spliceosome (involved in pre-mRNA splicing). Its 5' end forms complementary base pairs with the 5' splice junction, thus defining the 5' donor site of an intron. The record is from Ensembl. NCBI's taxonomy places the organism in Eukaryota, Metazoa, Chordata, Mammalia, Rodentia, Cricetidae.